AGAGUUUGAUCAUGGCUCAGGAUGAACGCUGGCGGCGUGCCUAACACAUGCAAGUCGAGCGAAGCGAUUCGGAUGAAUUUUUUGGAUGGAUUUUGGAUUGACUGAGCGGCGGACGGGUGAGUAACGCGUGGGUAACCUGCCUCAUACAGGGGGAUAACAGUUAGAAAUGACUGCUAAUACCGCAUAAGCGCACAGUACCGCAUGGUACGGUGUGAAAAACUCCGCGG
RNAcentral lists this ribosomal RNA (227 nucleotides) under uncultured bacterium. RNAcentral describes it as "partial 16S ribosomal RNA". It matches the Rfam family "Bacterial small subunit ribosomal RNA", at positions 8 to 214 of the family's 1533-position model. The record is from RNAcentral.